Molecule: ribosomal RNA, 3462 nt
Filed under: Triticum aestivum (bread wheat)
Lineage: Eukaryota; Viridiplantae; Streptophyta; Magnoliopsida; Poales; Poaceae
Description: partial small subunit ribosomal RNA
Source: RNAcentral
AUGGCCUCCGCCGACCGUCUCUCCGCCCUCGCCGACGACCUCCUCCAGCGCAUCCUGUCCUUCGCGCCGGCCAAGGAGGCCGCGGCCAGCGCCGCCCUCUCGCGCCGAUGGAGCCCGCUGUGGCGCCGCACGGGCGCCCUCAACCUCGACAGCAGGCCCUACUCCCGCCAGCACUCCAGAUUUUACCACGGCGACCGCUUCGACGACUUCUUCCGCCACGGCAAGGCCGCCCUCGCCAGCCAUCUCGGGACGGCGCUCAAGAGGCUCACGCUCUGCCUGUUGGAAGACGCCUACCUCGUCGGCGACAAAUGGCACUACUGUAGGAACGACGACGUGGUGCCAGAGUAUGACGCCCGGGUCGCCGGCCUCCUCACCGACCCCGCCGCGGCCGUGCUCGAGGAGCUCCAGAUUGCCGGCGAGUGCGUCUUUGUCUGCAAGUACGUCCCGCCGCUGGCCUCCCUGCCGUGCGCCGCCACGACGCUCCGGGUUCUGGAGCUCCACAACUGCAGCCUCGAGCCGGCGUCGUCACCAGCACCACCGAUGGAGUCGUCAGCGAGCCUCGCUUUCCCGCACCUCACAGAUUUGACGGUGCGUGACUGCACUUACUUGGAGUGGUAUCUCCAGGCCAUGGUCGACGCCAUGCCGUCGCUAACCAGGCUCGCGCUAGUGGACGUCACUAACAAGCCGCUGACGCCGCCGCCGGUUUCCACCGAGGAUUCCUUCAUGCCCACGUCCAAGUCUUUCAACCUGCCCCUCCGCCUCGCAUCCCCGACAGUCACUGCCUUGGUGCUCGAGAUCAAUAUGUGCCUGAACGAGCUCGACGAUUCCCGCAACAUUGGCAUACAGCUCGACAUGCCGAGCCUCCGCUCCUUCCGCUACAAGGGCUUCCCCUUCAAGCUCUCGCUCACAUCGCCGGCGCCGGGCCUGGCACGAGUCCACCUCGACACCAACCGCCGCGAGAGCGACGUUUACAAGUGCGAGCCCGCGGCACGCGUGCUUGCGAGCUUCUGCACCACGAGGUCCCUCAACCUGCGUCUCAGCACCAUUGAGGACAUUAUUGUCUCCAACGACUGUUAUCGCUAUGACACAAGCUUCCAUUACAGGGACAGCAACACGGCGUCGGCAUUGGCAACGCUACUCCGCGCCUGCCCGGCUAUGUCCGAGCUCCGCCUCAGGUUAAACAUGAACAGGGACUACCACUACGAUCGCGAGACCAAGGAACAAGUCGGAGGCCCCUCCGCCCAGUCCAUGGAAAGGUUCAACAGGCUCGGGUCCAUGUGCGCCAAACACCGCGACGACAUGGAGCUCGGCGGGGUCUCAGAGCUCCCGGCUGCUUUCGCCAACAGUUGCACGUUCGGCUGCCUGAGGACGAGCCUGCGUAAGGUGACGCUGCAGUUCAAGUCCAACGAGCACAACUGCUUUCAGGUUGGUGGCCAAUUUCGCAUUGUGAAACGGUGGAAAUGGAAGGCGACCACGCAGGUGGGAGUUGUAUAUGGAGAUGGCACAUCAUUUGCAGCAGCUGUUGAGAGAAAUUUUGUGAGGGAGAAAGGGAAAGACAAGGAGGAAGGACCUGAACAAGAGGAGAAAAGGAUCACCUCUUUUUUUUCACCCUUGCUAGUGCCUACUGCCUGCUCUGGCAUUGGAGAUCCAGACCUGGGAACCCAAGGUCGGCGCGCGGCGUACGUAUCCGUUCCAAAACCCAAACGGACUGAAUCGUCGACGUGCACAUCCAUAAAUAAAUAUGGAGCUCCAAGUCUCCAAGACUCCAACCCGCGACGUACGUUGGCAUCCACAAUGGCUGCCGCCGACCGUCUCUCAGCCCUCCCAAACGACGUGCUCGCGCGCAUCCUGUCUUUCGCGCCAACGCACGAGGCCGCGGCCACUGCCCUCCUCUCACGCCGGUGGCGAUCCGUGUGGCACCGGACCAGCUUCCUCAACCUCGACACCAGGCCCUACUCUACUCGGAGGCUUGAGCCUUUCUUCCAAGACGCCCGCGACAUCCUCGCAUCGCUCCGUCGGCCGCGCCGCGGCUCCCGCCGGCGCUGCCAUGGUGCGGGCCUCAAGACACUCAAGCUCUUCCUGGAGGAAGGAGCCUACUACAACAGAAAGAGCUGGCGUAGGGUGCGGGACGAUGCCGAACCGGACCACAGGGUCGCCGAACUCCUGGCCGACCCUGCUGUGUCGCGGCUGGAAGAGCUCAGCAUCGGCUGCGAGAAGGGCCACUCAAGAGAGGACCGUUACUUCCCGCCACUGGCAUCCCUGCCGUGCGCCGCCACGCUCCGGGUGCUGGAGCUCACGAACUGCAACCUCGAGCCGCCGUCGACGGCGCCGUCCUCGGGCCUGGCUUUCCCGUGCCUGACAGAUCUGACGCUGCGUAACUGCUUUUUCUUGGAGGGGUAUCUCCAAGACAUGCUCGACGCCGCGCCGGCACUCACCAGCCUGGCUCUGGCGAACGUCAGACAGAAGGCGGCUGGUUCUGGCGAGAGAUUGAACGACUGGGACUACUUCAUGCUGCCACUUCGCCUCCGAUGCCCGACGCUCACCGCCUUGGUGCUCGUGACCUUUGUCGACAAGAAGGAGGUCAAGGCGUCCGCCGCUGGCGGCAGCGGCAUCGAGCUCGACAUGCCCAGCCUCCGCUUCUUCCGGUUCCAGGGAUACCCCGUCAAGCUCUCGCUCACAUCGCCGGCACCGGGGCUCGCGCGAGUCGAUCUCGAUGUGGCUCGCCGCCAUCACAGUAGCCAUAGCUGGGCCUUCAGUUACGAGCCGCCAUCGCGCAUAAUCGCAAACUUCUCCAGCACGAGGGCCCUCAAGGUGCACCUCCAGAGCAUCGAAGACAUCAUCGCCGCCGACGAGGAUAAGGACGGCGGGGUCAUCCUGCCAACGUUCCCAAACCUCAAGCUCCUCGAACUAGAAGGAGAGUACUGGUGGCACAAGAACAGCAAGACAGCCGUGGCAACGGCGAGGCUUCUCCGCUCCUGGGUGAUGUCCGAGCUCCGGCUCAGGUUGGGCAAGCAAUGCGACCAUUGGGACCAAGACGAGUACAAGGACCCCUUCGACGAGUCCAUGGAGAGGUUCGAGAAGCUCGCGUGCAGGUCGUCGGCCGUGGAGCUUGGCUGGGUGUCGGAGCUCCCGGACCCUCUGACGUUCCGCUGUCUGCAGACGAGCCUCCGGAAGGUGACGCUGCGGUUCAAGGCCAAGGAGGUGAACUGCUUCCCGACGCAGCUCGCCAAGUUCGUCGCGGAGAACGCAAUGGUGCUCGAGGAGAUGCACGUCGACGACGGCAGCCAGUUCUGGCCGGACCACCUCUGCCACAAGGUUGGGGUGUGGAGAGCCGAGUCGUUCCGGAGGAAGAACCUGCCGGCCACGGCCGCCGGCUUUCGGGUGUGCCAGCUGCCGAUGGAUAAACCUGUGAAAGAUCCUGCUGAAGAAUCGUGUUACGGUUACGGUUACGAAUACGAUUAG